Molecule: non-coding RNA, 1487 nt
Organism: Oryctolagus cuniculus (rabbit)
Lineage: Eukaryota; Metazoa; Chordata; Mammalia; Lagomorpha; Leporidae
Source: RefSeq, a predicted model, not a curated record
UAUAAGCUCAGUGAAGACCAGUGGUUUUUUUUUUUUUCUACUCCUGUAGCCUAGAGUUGAGUGCUUCAUACAUAUUUGUUGAGUGAGUGAGUGCCAACUUCCCAUUAAUCAUGAAGCAGUGGUAAAACAAAGGUUGAUUAGGAUGGGCAAAAUCCAGUACACUAGGUCUUAAGAAAAGAGUGGACAGAAAGCAGAUGUGGGGGUGAGGGAUUGGCCUCAGGGCCCCUUGCCUUUGUGGAAGAGGUUUUACAAUGAGGGUUUCUGCCAACUCGCAUGGCGGUGCUGUAAAAACUUAGAAAAGGGGUUCUUCCUCUGAAUGGACACAAACUUGCCCUGGAGAGAAGUAAGGACAGGCAGAAGUCCCAGGGCUCAGCGAGGAGGGCUCACCAGGCACAAUCCUAUGACAGCCUAGGUCACAGGCCCACCCAGAGCACCUAGGUCAGAGGGGGCAGGGCACCUGUACACAGCAGAGGUCAACUGCUGUGCUUGAUAGUCCUCACGACUUACGUCUCUCUGCAUGGACAUGGAUGAGAAGCUUACUUUUGUACUGUUCUUCCAAUCCCAGCUCCAGUGUAAUCUGGCCUAAUCCAAUACAUGUAACGUAACUAUUCUAGGUACAAAUUGAAUUUAAGGGCUAAAAUGAUACCGUUCGUGUUCUCUAGGAAUUUUCAAUCUAGAGGAAAGAUCACACAGUGUCCACACAGCUGGGUGAGAUGAGAAUUUGUAACCCAACUGUGCACAGAGAGCUGCUGUGCUGGGGGAAAUGAAUGGAAGACGCAGAGCAUAGUUUGAAUGACGUGCUCUUCCCCUAAUUCGCUCUCCUACUGCCUGACCCCAUCCUCUGCAGAACGUUUCUACGUUCAGAAAACUUACGGUCCCCUUCUGAGGUGCUUCCUCUCCCACCUGCAGCUGCAAAUGCCUGCCCGUGUCUGAACUUUCAAGAUGGAAGUGGGUUCAGUUCUUUUCUUCGGAGGUUCUUAGAGCAAUUAGGAAGUCACCGCUAGAGAGGAGAAGGUACCACUCAACGGACCUGGCAGCCUUCUCUGUGCCUUGGCACCACAGCUCUGCCAGACCCAGGAACCCUGGCAGGCCUCAAAGAACUGUGCAGAGAUGGGUGAGCUGCCUACACAACCUGCUCUUCCCAGGCACACGGCUAGACGACAUUUUCCACGAGUGGUCUGGAGCGGGGUGUAGUCCUGUGCCUGAGGUCAGCCCAACGGAGCAAGAGGAGACCAUGUCUAGCAUCCCCAGUCCCAGCUCAGGUAAACCACCUGGGUAACCCUGCACUCCUCCCCUCCUUCCACCCUGCCCAUGCCCCACAUAGCCACUGAGGGAUGCUCCAGCAGCUGCCUGCCAAACAUGGCAGGCUCUCUACCUGCCUGGAUUUCUGAAUUGACUGUGUAGUGGAACAAUGCCAUCCUUUUUGAUUCUUUUCACCAGUGAGACUUUAAUUAAGCAACAAGUAAAUUUCUAUUGUGCUAAGGCUA